Fictibacillus enclensis is the source of this 393-nucleotide non-coding RNA. It matches the Rfam family "Bacterial RNase P class B". From Rfam's summary of the family: Ribonuclease P (RNase P) is a ubiquitous endoribonuclease, found in archaea, bacteria and eukarya as well as chloroplasts and mitochondria. The record is from Rfam. NCBI's taxonomy places the organism in Bacteria, Bacillati, Bacillota, Bacilli, Caryophanales, Fictibacillaceae.
ACGUUCGGGUAAUCGCGGCAUCUUUUUAAAGAUGUUGAGGAAAGUCCAUGCUCGCACGGUCUGCGAUGGCCGUAGUGUUCGUGCCUGGCGAAACGAUAAGCCAGGGUAUUCCGGUUUCGACUGGAUUAACGGCAGGGAACUCACCUAAGUCCUUUUGGAUAUGGUGACACUACCUUUAAAGUGCCACAGUGACGUAGUCUUUUCGGAAACGAAAAGAGUGGAACGCGGUAAACCCCACGAGCGAGAAACCCAAAUUAUGGUAGGGGAGUUUUCUUCGCGGAAAUGAACGCGAAGAAGAACAGAUGUUAAAGCCAUCUGGAGAUAGAUGAUUACCACCGGAGUACGAGGCGGCAGCCGCAUGCAGUACAAUGGAACAGAACAUGGCUUACAGAA